RNAcentral lists this ribosomal RNA (497 nucleotides) under uncultured bacterium. RNAcentral describes it as "partial 16S ribosomal RNA". It matches the Rfam family "Bacterial small subunit ribosomal RNA", at positions 28 to 507 of the family's 1533-position model. The record is from RNAcentral.
GAUGAACGCUGGCGGCGUGCCUAAUACAUGCAAGUCGAGCGAGCGGACGAGAAGCUUGCUUCUCUGAUGUCAGCGGCGGACGGGUGAGUAACACGUGGAUAACCUACCUAUAAGACUGGGAUAACUUCGGGAAACCGGAGCUAAUACCGGAUAAUAUUUUGAACCGCAUGAUUCAAAAGUGAAAGACGGUCUUGCUGUCACUUAUAGAUGGAUCCGCGCUGCAUUAGCUAGUUGGUAAGGUAACGGCUUACCAAGGCAACGAUGCAUAGCCGACCUGAGAGGGUGAUCGGCCACACUGGAACUGAGACACGGUCCAGACUCCUACGGGAGGCAGCAGUAGGGAAUCUUCCGCAAUGGGCGAAAGCCUGACGGAGCAACGCCGCGUGAGUGAUGAAGGUCUUCGGAUCGUAAAACUCUGUUAUUAGGGAAGAACAUAUGUGUAAGUAACUGUGCACAUCUUGACGGUACCUAAUCAGAAAGCCACGGCUAACUACGUG